GACGAACGCUGGCGGCGUGCUUAACACAUGCAAGUCGAACGCUGAAGCUCAGCUUUUGUUGGGUGGAUGAGUGGCGAACGGGUGAGUAACACGUGAGUAACCUGCCCCCUUCUUUGGGAUAACGCCCGGAAACGGGUGCUAAUACUGGAUAUUCACUGGUCCUCGCAUGGGGGUUGGUGGAAAGGGUUUUUCUGGUGGGGGAUGGGCUCGCGGCCUAUCAGCUUGUUGGUGGGGUGAUGGCCUACCAAGGCUUUGACGGGUAGCCGGCCUGAGAGGGUGACCGGUCACAUUGGGACUGAGAUACGGCCCAGACUCCUACGGGAGGCAGCAGUGGGGAAUAUUGCACAAUGGGCGCAAGCCUGAUGCAGCGACGCCGCGUGAGGGAUGGAGGCCUUCGGGUUGUGAACCUCUUUCGCUCAUGGUCAAGCCGCAACAAUGGUUGUGGUGAGGGUAGUGGGUAAAGAAGCGCCGGCUAACUACGUG
This 483-nucleotide ribosomal RNA is filed under the name uncultured bacterium. Its description in RNAcentral is "partial 16S ribosomal RNA". It matches the Rfam family "Bacterial small subunit ribosomal RNA", at positions 28 to 507 of the family's 1533-position model. The record is from RNAcentral.